Long non-coding RNA from Myotis brandtii (Brandt's bat), 929 nucleotides. RefSeq lists it as uncharacterized. The transcript has 2 exons. NCBI's taxonomy places the organism in Eukaryota, Metazoa, Chordata, Mammalia, Chiroptera, Vespertilionidae. The record is from RefSeq and is a predicted model, not a curated record.
CCCUUUCACAGGGGUCGCCUAAGACCAUCCUGCUCUAGGAGGUGAGCCUCGCUUACACUGUGGCUUCACCUUGGCAGACCACCAUGUAGUCCAGCAUAGGAAGCACAACAUUAAAGCUUUACUGCUGUUCACUUCAAAGAAAAUACAAAAGCUGUUUCUAGGGAUGUCACAGAAAACUUAAUGUUAUUAUCCUGACAUAAUUUCUAACUGCUUUUUUUUUUUAAUUGUCGCCGAAACUUUGCCACAAUCAUCUUUUUAUGCAGAGGAUAAAAGAAACAUAAAGUAGUUCACUUUUGUAAGUGCUGAGUUUAAGAUGCUUGGGGGCAUCUGGAGUUUGCAAAAGAGUUCUUUACUGGGAGAACAGAUUUGGGAGUUGUCAGCAAUUAAAGCUAAGGAAAUGAAUGGAGUGACUCAGAGUGUAUAUGUGGAGGGGAAGGAGGCUGACAUCAGACAGGAUACAGAAUCUAUGAAGGAGUCUGAGAAAUUGCCUUUUUAAGGGGAAAGAGAACCUGCAAAAUUCAUCACAGUACCUAGUGCAGUAUCUUCCUUGUGCAUAGAAGGCACUCAAAAAUAAUCACAUACAUUCAGCAAGUAUAUUCCUCCAUUCAAAGCACUGUGCUAGUAUAGAAAAUACAGGGAUCACUUUUCAAGGAUCCACAGGCCAAUUUGAGGGACAGAUAAUAAAUAAACGCAGCAUAGUAGACAGGUAGUAUGAAAGUGGUGCACACAGGCUUACUGGAGUACCAAGAAAGGAGGCCAAUAAAGAAGAACCUCGGAGGAAACAGCUGAAUCUUGAAGAAAGGACACUAGAAGAAGACACAGCUAUGAACCAGAAAGAUGGCCCUCACCAGAACCCAACCAUCCUGGCAUCUUGGUCUUGGACAUCCCAGCCUUCAGAGCAAUGAAAAAUAAAAUGUUGUUGUUUCUAA